This 253-nucleotide ribosomal RNA is filed under the name uncultured bacterium. RNAcentral's name for it is "partial 16S ribosomal RNA". It matches the Rfam family "Bacterial small subunit ribosomal RNA", at positions 524 to 776 of the family's 1533-position model. The record is from RNAcentral.
UACGUAGGGUGCAGGCGUUAAUCGGAAUUACUGGGCGUAAAGCGUGCGCAGGCGGUCUGCUAAGAGAGAUGUGAAAUCCCCGGGCUUAACCUGGGAACUGCGUUUCUAACUGGCAGGCUUGAGUGUGGCAGAGGGGGGUGGAAUUCCACGUGUAGCAGUGAAAUGCGUAGGGAUGUGGAGGAACACCGAUGGCGAAGGCAGCCCCCUGGGCUAACACUGACGCUCAUGCACGAAAGCGUGGGGAGCAAACAGG